RNAcentral lists this long non-coding RNA (258 nucleotides) under Phaseolus vulgaris (common bean). RNAcentral's name for it is "long non-coding RNA (PVUL_LNC001803)". The record is from RNAcentral. Lineage: Eukaryota; Viridiplantae; Streptophyta; Magnoliopsida; Fabales; Fabaceae.
GGUAAGCUGUUGUCGGUCGGCGAAGAUGAGGAGGAUGACAUAGAGAACGCAAAAGGUCGAGAUAACCUUGGGACCGUGCGGAAGGAAGUUGAACCCUCCUUAGGGGAGGUUGUUCAACCUUUGUGUUUGAAACACCGUCAAAAUAUUCAUAGUAUCUUGGGUCCGGGAUGUUGGCACUGAACAAUUUUAAUUUUUGCCCAUUUACUCUAUGUUUGAAAACUUUGUUUGUAACAUUUUGCGUUUACCGAUAACAUCUUU